GGCGAACGCUGGCGGCGUGCUUAACACAUGCAAGUCGAACGGAAAGGCCCUGCUUGCCGGGUACUCGAGUGGCGAACGGGUGAGUAACACGUGGGUGAUCUGCCCUGCACUUCGGGAUAAGCCUGGGAAACUGGGUCUAAUACCGGAUAGGAGCCAUUUUUAGUGUGAUGGUUGGAAAGUUUUUUCGGUGUAGGAUGAGCUCGCGGCCUAUCAGCUUGUUGGUGGGGUAAUGGCCUACCAAGGCGGCGACGGGUAGCCGGCCUGAGAGGGUGGACGGCCACAUUGGGACUGAGAUACGGCCCAGACUCCUACGGGAGGCAGCGGUGGGGAAUAUUGCACAAUGGGCGCAAGCCUGAUGCAGCGACGCCGCGUGGGGGAUGACGGCCUUCGGGUUGUAAACUCCUCUCGCUAGGGACGAAGCUUUUUGUGACGGUACCUAGAUAAGAAGCACCGGCUAACUACGUG
Molecule: ribosomal RNA, 465 nt
Filed under: uncultured bacterium
Lineage: Bacteria
Description: partial 16S ribosomal RNA
Rfam family: Bacterial small subunit ribosomal RNA
Source: RNAcentral